This 468-nucleotide ribosomal RNA is filed under the name uncultured bacterium. RNAcentral describes it as "partial 16S ribosomal RNA". It matches the Rfam family "Bacterial small subunit ribosomal RNA", at positions 28 to 507 of the family's 1533-position model. The record is from RNAcentral.
GACGAACGCUGGCGGCGUGCUUAACACAUGCAAGUCGAACGGAAAGGCCCUGCUUUUGUGGGGUGCUCGAGUGGCGAACGGGUGAGUAACACGUGAGUAACCUGCCCUUGACUUUGGGAUAACUUCAGGAAACUGGGGCUCAUAUCGGAUAGGAGCUACUGCUGCAUGGUGGGGGUUGGAAAGUUUCGGCGGUUGGGGAUGGACUCGCGGCUUAUCGGCUUGUUGGUGGGGUAGUGGCUUACCAAGGCUUUGAAGGGUAGCCGGCCUGAGAGGGUGACCGGCCACAUUGCGACUGAGAUACGGCGCAGACUCCAACCGGAGGCAGCAGUGGGGAAUAUUACACAAUGGGCGGAAGCCAGAUGCAGCAACGCCGCGUGCGGGAUGACGUCCUUCGGGUUGUAAACCGCUUUCGCCUGUGACGAGGCGUGAGUGACGGUAAUGGAUAAAGAAGCACCGGCUAACUACGUG